This 912-nucleotide ribosomal RNA is filed under the name Escherichia coli. RNAcentral describes it as "bacterial LSU rRNA". It matches the Rfam family "Bacterial large subunit ribosomal RNA", at positions 1 to 945 of the family's 2925-position model. The record is from RNAcentral. Lineage: Bacteria; Pseudomonadati; Pseudomonadota; Gammaproteobacteria; Enterobacterales; Enterobacteriaceae.
GGGUUGUGAGGUUAAGCGACUAAGCGUACACGGUGGAUGCCCUGGCAGUCAGAGGCGAUGAAGGACGUGCUAAUCUGCGAUAAGCGUCGGUAAGGUGAUAUGAACCGUUAUAACCGGCGAUUUCCGAAUGGGGAAACCCAGUGUGUUUCGACACACUAUCAUUAACUGAAUCCAUAGGUUAAUGAGGCGAACCGGGGGAACUGAAACAUCUAAGUACCCCGAGGAAAAGAAAUCAACCGAGAUUCCCCCAGUAGCGGCGAGCGAACGGGGAGGAGCCCAGAGCCUGAAUCAGUGUGUGUGUUAGUGGAAGCGUCUGGAAAGGCGCGCGAUACAGGGUGACAGCCCCGUACACAAAAAUGCACAUGCUGUGAGCUCGAUGAGUAGGGCGGGACACGUAGUAUCCUGUCUGAAUAUGGGGGGACCAUCCUCCAAGGCUAAAUACUCCUGACUGACCGAUAGUGAACCAGUACCGUGAGGGAAAGGCGAAAAGAACCCCGGCGAGGGGAGUGAAAAAGAACCUGAAACCGUGUACGUACAAGCAGUGGGAGCAUGCUUAGGCGUGUGACUGCGUACCUUUUGUAUAAUGGGUCAGCGACUUAUAUUCUGUAGCAAGGUUAACCGAAUAGGGGAGCCGAAGGGAAACCGAGUCUUAACUGGGCGUUAAGUUGCAGGGUAUAGACCCGAAACCCGGUGAUCUAGCCAUGGGCAGGUUGAAGGUUGGGUAACACUAACUGGAGGACCGAACCGACUAAUGUUGAAAAAUUAGCGGAUGACUUGUGGCUGGGGGUGAAAGGCCAAUCAAACCGGGAGAUAGCUGGUUCUCCCCGAAAGCUAUUUAGGUAGCGCCUCGUGAACUCAUCUCUGGGGGUAGAGCACUGUUUCGGCAAGGGGGUCAUCCCGACUUACCAACCC